This is a non-coding RNA of Phaeosphaeria sp. MPI-PUGE-AT-0046c, 89 nucleotides long. NCBI's taxonomy places the organism in Eukaryota, Fungi, Ascomycota, Dothideomycetes, Pleosporales, Phaeosphaeriaceae. The record is from the annotation of a GenBank genome assembly.
GGUCUUGUGGUCUAGUGGUAUGAUUCUCGCUUAGGGUAAACCCAAGCACAGCUUGCGAGAGGCCCCGCGUUCGAGUCGCGGCAAGACCC